Molecule: ribosomal RNA, 252 nt
Filed under: uncultured bacterium
Lineage: Bacteria
Description: partial 16S ribosomal RNA
Rfam family: Bacterial small subunit ribosomal RNA
Source: RNAcentral
UACGGAGGAUGCGAGCGUUAUCCGGAUUUAUUGGGUUUAAAGGGUGCGUAGGCGGGAUGCCAAGUCAGCGGUAAAAAUGCGGUGCUCAACGCCGUCGAGCCGUUGAAACUGGCGUUCUUGAGUGGGCGAGAAGUAUGCGGAAUGCGUGGUGUAGCGGUGAAAUGCAUAGAUAUCACGCAGAACUCCGAUUGCGAAGGCAGCGUACCGGCGCCCUACUGACGCUGAGGCACGAAAGCGUGGGUAUCGAACAGG